RNAcentral lists this ribosomal RNA (797 nucleotides) under Triticum aestivum (bread wheat). Its description in RNAcentral is "partial small subunit ribosomal RNA". Lineage: Eukaryota; Viridiplantae; Streptophyta; Magnoliopsida; Poales; Poaceae. The record is from RNAcentral.
GGCGCCGGCGGCGGGGCGAGGAGGAGGACCGGUGCGCGGCGAAGAAGAGGGUUUAGGUGGCGGAGCAAGGAGCUAAGGUACCGCCUCUUCCCCUUCUUUAUGGUGAGAUACCUCUCUCUCCCCGGUCUCGCGGUAAGUGCGCGCCACUGGUGGUCCGCCUCCAUCCUCCCUCCCCCAGACCCGCCGUGACGAAGGGGACACGCUGCACAAGCACGCCCGCGCUCCCGACCUCCUCCCUCUCCCUGGGCACGCAGGCACGUUGUUGCACUGGUAGAGCGGACACCGCGGAAGCAGUCGUCAAUUCGUUUAGUGGUCAAACACCUGUUGCCGCUCUUAACGCCGCUCCACCUACGCCGUGUCUGCGCGUCAUGUAGUGAUAUCUAAGGGGAGAUCGCGAAGCAGGUGUCCUAAUCCUCAACCGACCCUGCUCGUUUUAGCACUAAUCGUCGUCGGACUUAACUGGGUCGUACGUAUCCCCAAGUAAGUUCAAUAAUCACGUACCAGUACAGGUGGUCUCCUCUACCCCCCGCUCUACCUUGAAAGUAGACCCAGUUCUAGAAAGAAAAAACCUUACCUCCUACCUCCGUACGUAACCCAACCACUCUACCUGUUGUACACCCCGCACCCCCCGGAAAAACGCAAGGACAAAGUCUUAGUCUUCCCUUGAGUGCAGGAAAAAGCACGUGCACUAGCCCCUCCCAACGACUAACCACGUGCUCUCUAAAAAAGGACAAAGACUAACCACGCGCCCCCGGUCAACAACCCUGAAGGACAAAACCAAGGAGAAAAAUCUGCCC